GUGCCAGCCGCCGCGGUAAUACGAAGGGGGCUAGCGUUGUUCGGAAUCACUGGGCGUAAAGGGCGCGUAGGCGGCUUUGUAAGUCGGGGGUGAAAGCCUGUGGCUCAACCACAGAAUUGCCUUCGAUACUGCAUGGCUUGAGACCGGAAGAGGUUAGUGGAACUGCGAGUGUAGAGGUGAAAUUCGUAGAUAUUCGCAAGAACACCAGUGGCGAAGGCGGCUGACUGGUCCGGAUCUGACGCUGAGGCGCGAAAGCGUGGGGAGCAAACAGGAUUAGAUACCCUCGUAGUCC
RNAcentral lists this ribosomal RNA (292 nucleotides) under uncultured bacterium. RNAcentral's name for it is "partial 16S ribosomal RNA". It matches the Rfam family "Bacterial small subunit ribosomal RNA", at positions 505 to 796 of the family's 1533-position model. The record is from RNAcentral.